CGGACGGGUGAGUAACGCGUGAGAAUCUGCCUAAAGGACUGGGACAACAGCUGGAAACGGCUGCUAAUACCAGAUAUGCCAGAAAGUGAAAAGGGGUAACCCGCCUUUUGAUGAGCUCGCGUCUGAUUAGCUAGUUGGUAGGGUAAAGGCCUACCAAGGCUCCGAUCAGUAACUGGUCUGAGAGGAUGACCAGUCACACUGGGACUGAGACACGGCCCAGACUCCUACGGGAGGCAGCAGUGGGGAAUUUUCCGCAAUGGGCGCAAGCCUGACGGAGCAAUACCGCGUGGGGGAGGAAGGCUCUUGGGUCGUAAACCUCUUUUCUCAGGGAAGAACACAAUGACGGUACCUGAGGAAUCAGCAUCGGCUAACUCCGUGCCAGCAGCCGCGGUAAUACGGAGGAUGCAAGCGUUAUCCGGAAUGAUUGGGCGUAAAGCGUCCGCAGGUGGCCGUGUAAGUCUGCUGUCAAAGGUCAGGGCUCAACCCUGAACAGGCAGUGGAAACUACACAGCUAGAGUGCGGUGGGGGCAGAGGGAAUUCCCAGUGUAGCGGUGAAAUGCGUAGAGAUUGGGAAGAACACCGGUGGCGAAAGCGCUCUGCUAGGCCGCAACUGACACUCAUGGACGAAAGCUAGGGGAGCGAAUGGGAUUAGAUACCCCAGUAGUC
This 666-nucleotide ribosomal RNA is filed under the name uncultured cyanobacterium. RNAcentral describes it as "bacterial SSU rRNA". It matches the Rfam family "Bacterial small subunit ribosomal RNA", at positions 99 to 795 of the family's 1533-position model. The record is from RNAcentral. Lineage: Bacteria; Bacillati; Cyanobacteriota.